UAAAAUUAAAACCCAAAACGAAAUCCUACAUAGUUCCUAAAAUAAAACCUCAAAACGAAACACUAAAUAACCCUUAAAAUCAAAACCAAGACGAAACCCUAAAUAACCCUUACAAUCAAAAUUCAAAUUGAAACCCUAACUAACCCCUAAAAUUAAAACCCAAAACGGAAAUAAAAAAUACACACCAUGAAAUCGGAAAUAAAUGGCACCCAAUCACAAAAGGAGAGAACAAAAUCCCAACCAAAAUGCAAUCAAACUAACCAAAUGAAAACCAACCUCGUUUGAAGCCCUCAAAUUGCACUGCAAAUAGCACUCCAAAUGCCACAAAAAAUUGAAUUCAAGGCGCGAUCUUCCCAACCCUAACAACAACUUUCGGAAAAUGCGAAAAAAAACCCAAAUAGCACUCUAAUUUCAAUUAGAUUUCCAAUUUUUUCCAUCGCAACACAUGGACCCCACAUUACAAUAAAAAAUUAUUUUCCAUGCCACCUCAGUGGUUGUAAUCUGGCACACACACGUGGCAGUUGCCUAUAUUUCGUCACCCUAAAGGUUUAGUGGGCCAGAUUCUCCCACUUCCAUUUUCUGCUUAAAUCCUAAUCUCUUUCCUUUGCUACUUCAACCCUCAUCUAUGAGAAAUUUCCCCAAAUCCGGCUCCUCAAAAUCGUCCCCGGUGAAGCUGCAACGAAGGUCCGUGAAGAUGCACGUGAUUGCCCAGUGGUGUCGUUGAAGGUGAGUGGUGGUAGAUGGUGGUGAUUUGAGCUCUGUUGGCCGUUUGAAGCUUUGUCGUGCAGAAUUAAAAGCGAGAUUUGAUGACGACGAACAUGACCAUAGGGGGUGCAACGACGACGAACGUGAACGACGAACGAAGGAGGCGAGCGCGAGGACAACUGCUGUUGCAAGCAGUGAUGAUAUCUUCAGCAACACAAUCUUAAACAGAAACAACGUCAUUGACGACAAGAAGAGCAACAGGCGCGCAUGAAGGAGAUACAAAUAACGGAGGUGUGAGCAGCUGAGAUGCACCGUAAUUUGAGUGAGUGAGGUUUCAACAACUUGGGACUUUUCUUAGGAUUCAUGAUUUCAAUUUUUUAUAAGAAAUUCUCACACACAACUACUAUUUUUUAUUUUUUCAAAAUAAUAUGAAAUGCUAUAAUUUAAAAGAAAAAGCCUGUUCACACUCUCACGUGGUCUUGCCCCUCGAAAGUUAGACUUAUUAUAUUAUAUCCUCGGUUUUGUGUGGCUGAGCCUACAAUAAUUACAUUGGCUAAACCUACGCUAUUUGUGUGGGCUUCUAUAAGUAUGUUUGUGUCCAUUACUUUUUGCGUCCAUUAAUUAGAAAGAAAAUAAAAACCCAUUGGUUAGUGGGUUCAUUUUCCAAUUUAUCAUUGCUUGUCACCUCUCUGUCAUUGUACUUGAAAUGAAACACACAGUUGUUAUGCUUCUUAUCUAUGUUCAUCAUUCAUUAGAAGUCAUCUUGUUUUCGUAUCUAUGCAUAGAUCACUUGUUCUUUGAGGCACAACAAAACACGUAUUCUGCAAAAUAAAAUUUAUGCAUAUCAAAUUCAGAUUUACAAUACUAUAAUUAGUUUUAAGGGUUGGAAAAACAUAAAACACUAGACAAAUAGGGGGCUUUGUAUAAGAAAAUAGAAAUUUACUUGCAGAAGUUCUUCAAAUACAUCUUCCAAAGUUGAGGAAUAGAUGUCUUCAGAAGCCACAGCAUAAACCUAUAAUAUAUAAAACAUUCAGAAAAUUCUAUUGAAAGUUUAUAUUAAAGGAAAUGUUGCCGAUUAAUUUGAAGGAAUGAGUUGAUCCCGAGCACCACUACCACCGGAAAGACUGUUUGAGCCGAAAUCAGUGACAGAAGCCAGCGCAGGUCUCUACCGUCGUCGUCGUCGUCGAUCCUUUUCCGUCCUCGUUAGAUAUCAUCACUCGCCCCCCUUCAUCAAUAUUUAGAACUUCGUCUCCGCAUUGGAGGCGAAUUUGUCAGCAUUCGGAAUGGGGCAGCGCGACAGAAGAGAGUGGCAGCGUCUGGAACGGGAGGCGGAGGAUAGCGUCGAGGUAGUAGGAACGGAGGAAGGGGCAAUGAAGAGGGAAAUCAGAGACUGUUCACGGAAAGUGAAGAGGAAACUGAAAUUUUUUUGGAGAAAUGAAAAGGAAAAUAAAUUUUGAAGCAAAUGUAGAUUAUUU
This 2180-nucleotide long non-coding RNA is filed under the name Phaseolus vulgaris (common bean). RNAcentral's name for it is "long non-coding RNA (PVUL_LNC003496)". Lineage: Eukaryota; Viridiplantae; Streptophyta; Magnoliopsida; Fabales; Fabaceae. The record is from RNAcentral.